RNAcentral lists this long non-coding RNA (472 nucleotides) under Homo sapiens (human). RNAcentral's name for it is "non-protein coding lnc-ADGRE2-1:1". The record is from RNAcentral. Lineage: Eukaryota; Metazoa; Chordata; Mammalia; Primates; Hominidae.
CGUCUGUCACCCCCUGCACUAUACGGUCAUCAUGAACCCCCAGCUCUGUGGACUGCUGGUUCUGGGGUCCUGGUGCAUCAGUGUCAUGGGUUCCCUGCUCGAGACCUUGACUGUUUUGAGGCUGUCCUUCUGCACCGAAAUGGAAAUUCCACACUUUUUUUGUGAUCUACUUGAAGUCCUGAAGCUCGCCUGUUCUGACACCUUCAUUAAUAACGUGGUGAUAUACUUUGCAACUGGCGUCCUGGGUGUGAUUUCCUUCACUGGAAUAUUUUUCUCUUACUAUAAAAUUGUUUUCUCUAUACUGAGGAUUUCCUCAGCUGGGAGAAAGCACAAAGCGUUUUCCACCUGUGGUUCCCACCUCUCAGUGGUCACCUUGUUCUAUGGCACGGGCUUUGGGGUCUAUCUCAGUUCUGCAGCCACACCAUCUUCUAGGACAAGUCUGGUGGCCUCAGUGAUGUACACCAUGGUCACC